CGAGGAAUCUUGGUCAAUGGGCGCAAGCCUGAACCAGCGACGCCGCGUGGGGGAUGACGGCUCUCGGGUUGUAAACCCCUGUUGUGUGGGACGAAGAACUGACGGUACCACACGAGGAAGCCACGGCUAACUACGUGCCAGCAGCCGCGGUAAUACGUAGGUGGCAAGCGUUGUCCGGAUUUACUGGGCGUAAAGCGCGCGCAGGUGGCGCGUCAAGUCUGGUGUGAAAGCCUCCGGCUCAACCGGAGGAGGCCACUGGAGACUGGCGUGCUCGAGGUGGGUAGGGGUCGGUGGAAUUCCCGGUGUAGUGGUGAAAUGCGUAGAUAUCGGGAGGAACACCAGUGGCGAAAGCGGCCGACUGGGCCCAACCUGACGCUGAGGCGCGAAAGCGUGGGGAGCGAACCG
Molecule: ribosomal RNA, 405 nt
Filed under: uncultured bacterium
Lineage: Bacteria
Description: bacterial SSU rRNA
Rfam family: Bacterial small subunit ribosomal RNA
Source: RNAcentral